Molecule: transfer RNA, 71 nt
Filed under: Scarodytes malickyi
Lineage: Eukaryota; Metazoa; Arthropoda; Insecta; Coleoptera; Dytiscidae
Description: tRNA-Val
Source: RNAcentral
CAAAUUAAAGCUUAAUUAGUUAAGCAAUUUAUUUACAUUAAAAAGAAGUUGUGCAAUUCAAUAUAAUUUGA